This 501-nucleotide ribosomal RNA is filed under the name uncultured bacterium. RNAcentral describes it as "partial 16S ribosomal RNA". It matches the Rfam family "Bacterial small subunit ribosomal RNA", at positions 30 to 523 of the family's 1533-position model. The record is from RNAcentral.
AUUGAACGCUGGCGGCAGGCUUAACACAUGCAAGUCGAGCGAGGGAAGGUAGCUUGCUACUGGACCUAGCGGCGGACGGGUGAGUAAUGCUUAGGGAUCUGCCUAUUAGUGGGGGACAACAUCUCGAAAGGGAUGCUAAUACCGCAUACGUCCUACGGGAGAAAGCAGGGGAUCUUCGGACCUUGCGCUAAUAGAUGAGCCUAAGUCGGAUUAGCUAGUUGGUGGGGUAAAGGCCUACCAAGGCGACGAUCUGUAGCGGGUCUGAGAGGAUGAUCCGCCACACUGGGACUGAGACACGGCCCAGACUCCUACGGGAGGCAGCAGUGGGGAAUAUUGGACAAUGGGGGGAACCCUGAUCCAGCCAUGCCGCGUGUGUGAAGAAGGCCUUAUGGUUGUAAAGCACUUUAAACGAGGAGGAGGCUACUCUAGUUAAUACCUAGGGAUAGUGGACGUUACUCGCAGAAUAAGCACCGGCUAACUCUGUGCCAGCCGCCGCCGUAA